UUUUUAUCAAAGCCUGAUAUCGUCAGAUCUCUGAACCUAAGCAGAGCUGAGCCUGGUUAGUACUUGGACUGGAGAUCGCUGGGAAUACCAGGU
This 93-nucleotide ribosomal RNA is filed under the name Periophthalmus magnuspinnatus. Lineage: Eukaryota; Metazoa; Chordata; Actinopteri; Gobiiformes; Gobiidae. The record is from RNAcentral.